AUAAGCCAACCUUGACUAAAAUAUGCCUCCAAUUACAUGUAUUGAGCAUCAUAAGAUAUCACUAAUCUAAAAGUACUAAAAUCAUAAAUAUUCAAUGAGGUGAUUAUCACCUCACCAGAAUUUUAAUGCAAUAUCAAAAUCCAGAAUCACAUCACAAGCCUAAUCUUGAUCAAAUAAAUAUCUUGAACAUGAUAUGCUAGAAAAGAUCACAAAGCUAUUCCAAACCAUCUAUCUAAUUCUCAAAAAAAUAAAAAAUCUUUCAUUUAUAAAAAAGAAACAUGAAGAGCACAAACUUUGCCACUCUUUUCUUUGGAUGCUUUUGACCAAACCUCACAUGAAGCUUUAUCCACAAAUAGGAAUGGUUUUGACAAAAGGGCGUUUGUAAAACUAAAUAAGAAGAUAAGUUGGAUUUGCUUAGAGUGGAUUUGGGUGGUUCUUGUUGGCAAUGAAAGUGCAGGGUAGUUAGUGACCACUAGUGGUACAUACAGACUCACAUAGUCAGUGACAUGGUUAUUAUGCAAAACUUUGAUUUUUGCUUUGAGCUCUAUGAAUUGUGGAAGAAAAAUGGUGAGUGACUCCACAAUAUACAAAUCAGAAUAUGGAGGAAAAAGUAUAAAUAAAAAUGUCCCGCAUCGGAAGCUAUGAGUAGAGCAGAGAGGAGCUUUGGUUAUAAAUAAAAAAAGGCUGUAGCUCUUAACUCUAACUCUCAGUCCAAUAUGAUUAAUGUUUCAAUGGACUAAGCUGCAAGCAGUUUUGCACCGUCUAAUCCUUCUGAUCGGAUGGAUUAGUUUUUGUGCGCAUUGAUGAAUUUGUUAUCGUUCGCAAUUUUGUGUCGUUCCAUUUUAAUUAUAUAAAAAUGGAACGUAACAAAUUACGACCAUUGACAAAUCCAUCUUAAAAAUAAUGUAAUAAUUUUCACUUUUAUAUGCUAUUAUUUGCCCACAUUUUGUAUGUUUUGCAAAAGGUGGUGUGAGAAUAAAAAUAUACAUGUGGCAUGUCCGUAUAAAUUGUGCAUAUGGAUUAAUUAAUUUUACAACAAAAAAUAAUCUAAAACAAGAAGUUUUAAGAUAUUGUAGUCAAAUUUAAUGUCUUUAACCUCUAAUUGAUGAAUAUUAGUUGAAUUGUGAAUUUUUCAUUGAGGUAUAGUAGAAUACUGAAUCAAGCUUGUCAAUUACUAUAAUUCAAUCUUCGCUUUUGAUGGUUGGAGUUUGAACCCUAAACAUUACAUAUAUUAUAUAUUUUUUCUACCAAUUGAGCUAAGUUCACGAUGACCAAGGUGUAUGCUUUAUGACCACUCUUAAAAUAUUCAAAUUUAUCAAGGAUGGAGUGUUUUUUUUUCGGGUAAUUACUUGUUUACCUUGGGUAAUUUUAUCUGAUGGAGUUUUGUUUGUACGAUUUUAAGGCAAUUAUGUGUGUUUUUUUUCUUGGAGAUAAUGCACGUGUAUCUAUCUCUUUAUCUAUAUUUUUUUUGGUAGGUAGACGAAAUGAUAAUAAUAAUUAGGAACUCACACACACAAUUGAAUGAGUUGGGGUUUGAACCCCAAUCACAACUUAUGAUCUAACAAUUUUGAUAUUUUAUCAGUUGAGUUAGAAUUUAUAAACAUUAAUCUAUCUUUUAUAUUGUAAACUAAAUUUGACUUGUUAGCAUGCAAGUUUUGUGAUUACGUGACACAUGCAAAGUUUUCACUAUAUUAAAAAUCACUGAUUCUUAAAGUUAGGAAUAUUCUUAUGUAUCCGAUCUAGUUUAAGAAUUACUUAUUUUCAAUAGAGUGAAAAACUUUGCAAUGUGUCAUGUAAUUAUAAAACUUGUAUGAGAACAAGUUUAGUUUAAUUUGCAAUAUAGAAGAUAGAUAGAUAUUCAUCGGUCUCAACUCAACUGAUAAAAAUAUCAAAAUUUUAGGCCGUUGUGAUAGCUCCUCCAAUUAUGUGUGUUUCUAAUAAUUAUUGUCAUUCUGUCCAUCUUCCAACAAAAAUAAUAGUGCUAAUUGGGAUAUUUAGCGUGUCUGCACCUUACUAUACCCCAUUUCCCUUUUAAUGGUUCAUAAUCUUGAUCAAUUCAAAUGGCUACCAUGUUAAAGACACAAAAUGACAAUUUAUUUUCAUGUAAUCUUAAUAGUAAUGAUAGUCUGGUAAUUUUAAGGCUUUUGGGUAAGAGUGUGGUGUCUCUCUCACUUGUGUGGUUGUUCAAGCCUUGAUGUGGACGGUCCCCCGAGCUCCCCCUCACAAACCCAACAGUGGUAUCAAAGCACCGUUCGACGAAAGGUAAGAUCGAGGCAGCCGGUCCGUUUGCGCAGAAAGUAGCAACGACGGUACAAAGCAGUGUCGGUCUGUUUGCGGAGAAACCAACAACGGCGAUACAAACAAGUAAGAGCUUCCGCUUGAAGGGGGACACACUUGAGGGGGAGUGUUGUUGUGUACAAGUGUGAGUUAUAUGCCACACAUCAGAUAAAAAGAGUAAAGGUUGAACACCUUAUAAGUAAGAGGACACAUAAACCUAUGACCUUAAAGUGUUGGGUAAGAGUGUGGCGUCUCUCUUGUUUAUAUGGUUGUUGUAGCCUUGAUGUGGACGGUUCCCUAGCUCCCCUCAACCCAACAAUAUCUUCUUGCUGUCAAUUUAUUUGAAAAUUUUACCACUUACGGUUAAGCUAAUUUUGGGGAACGUGACACGCAAUUUCAAGUGGAAACUACUAGCAAGAAAUGUAGCCUAUGCUAAAGUAAUGUUUUCAUUGUCUCUCCCUAAAAGAAAAAGGGAUGAAGAGAUGAGAGCGAGUGACCAUAGAGUAUAGACAACCGUGGAAUAAGAAAUGUUGAUAGUGUCUUCCUUUUUUUUUUGGAAAGAAAUGUUGAUAGUGUCUUCCCUUGAUUAAUUUUGAGAGAUUACUCUAUCUUAAAAGAGAAAUGAUAUUUGAACAACCAUUUUUUACAACUUUUGUGAUAACUUUCUCUCUCAUACUCACAUUAUUUUUUUACUUUCUCUCUCUAUGGCUUUGGUUUUUGUGUCACUACCUCAUUUCCUUUGUAAAAUUUUGAUUAUCACAAAAGUUGUCACAUAUAUGGAUGUUCAAAUAACACAACUCAUUUUAAAAAGGGUUUUUUGGAUGGUGUGCAUAAGGUUAUUUAUAUUAUUGUUAGAGGUUCUUCAAUUGAGAAAUUUGCAAAUUGAGUGUGUGCUUGAAAUUGUAAUUUUUGGUUGUUGUAGUUGUGAGCAAAAGUUUUAAUAAAAAAAAUUGUCAGCAAAUUGAACCUCGGUUUGCUCUGUCAUAAAAUUUGCAAAUUGAGUGUGUGCUUGAAAUUGUUAUAUUUGAUUGAUUAUUUACGUACAAAAAUCAAAUGAUCAUUCAUAUAUUUAGUGAUUAUGAUCAUUCUUAUUUAACUCCUUUUUCAAUUGAUUCAAUUUUAAAGAUUUUUUUUUGUCCAUUUAUUUACUAAACAAACUAAUAGAUAUUCUUUUUAUUCAGUCGAAAAAAACUAAGAGAUAUUCUUUUGUCACUUUUCAAUAUUUCCUUUCUUUUUUGUGUUUAAAUGGACUUUGCAUUUUUACAUCUCUCGUUAAUAAUUUUUUGACAAUUGUCUUUUUUGAGUAUUGCUGUUGACACAUUUGGUUUGGCUGAGAAGCAUGAGUAAAUUACUCAAAUGCCCUUAGGCAGUUAGCUGCCGAAAUUUUAAAGAACCGGCUACGUUAACUGCCGAGUAAUUUCAAACCUGAAAUUAAAUAAGAAAAUACACCUAAAUUUUCCUUAAUUAAAUUUAAUUCUUUAAUCAUUUUAAGGAAUUAAACAUAAUUAUUAUUAUGAUUUCAUUCAUAUGAUUUUGUUGCCAUAAAUAAAGAUAUAUGAGAGAUGAAUAAUAUCUGCAAUCGGUAGUUAAUGGACCUAAAGUGAUGAUUCAAUAAAAGUAAAUGCAACAACAAAAACGUUACAAAUAAUUAUAUUUGUAAUUAUUAGUAAUUAAUUUCAUUGAUUUCUGUCAUUAUUCAUAAGUUUGACUAACCUAUUAGUACUUUAUACUAAUAUUUCAGAUAUUAUUACUUUAAUUAACAUGAAAAACGCAACAACAAAGAAAAAUGUUUGACAUCGGUAAUUAAUGGACCUAAAAUGGUGAUUCAAUAAAAAAAAUGCAACAACAAAAAACAUUAUAAAUGAUAGAAUAAUUAUAUUUUCCUUCAAAAAAAAAGAAUAAUUAUAUUUGUAAUUAAUUUCAUUGAUGUCUGUCAUUAUUCAUAGGUUUGACUAACCUAUUAUUACUUUAUAAUAUUUUAGAUAUUAUUCAUCUCUCUUUCAAAUAAUUAUAUUUGUAAUUAUUCUAUUAAUAAAACCUCUUUUUUUUUUUUUUUGUAGAAAUAAAACUUCUUUUCUAUUACUAGUUAGAAACGUGAUCGAAUAUGUAAUUCUAGGAUAUCAUAUUUCUUCAUUUAUGGCAACAAAAUUAUAUGAAUGAAAUCAACAACGUUAUAAAAAGAAUCAUGUAGUAAAGAAUUAAAUUUAAUUAAGGGAAAAUUUAGGUGUAUUUCCUUAUUUAAUUUCAGGUUUGAAAUUCCUCGGUAGUUAACUGCCGAAGUUUUCCUCGGCAGUUAACUGCAGCAGGUUCUUUAAAAUUUCGGCAGUUAACUGUCGAAGGGUAUUUAGGUAAAUUACUCGUGUUUCUCAGCCAAACCAAAUGUGUGAACAACAAUACUCAUCUUUUUUACAUACUCAAUUGCUCUCCCGCAAUAGUAAAAAAUCAUUAUAUCCUUAACAGCAGUUAACUACUCCCGACCUCCCAACGUAAAAGUCAGGACAGUUAAUUGAUGUUGGGUGUAUAAUGGUCUUUUACUGGUUAGUGUGGGAGAACAAUUGGAUGCGAAAGAAAAACAAUUUUCUAAUUUUUUUAGAGAGUGUAUGUUUAGUUUGGUGCAAAAUAGAUAUGUUAAGAACCCAUUCUGGGUUUUACAUAAUCACACUUAAUUUUGUAAUUUAAGUUUCAACGAUUACAGGCCAAUGCAUCAAACAUUGACCUGCACCAACUAGUUUCAAAGAUGCAGACAAUACUUAGUGGUACGAAAGAUAAGAUUGAGUGAGAUUUGUUUAGUGAAAAGAAGCAGUUUGAGGCAUUUGUCAAUUCUCAUUCACUAAGUGUUUUAGACUAGUCCAAUGCCCACAAUCCACAUUAUAUAAGGUUUGAAUUGUAUCAACGCAACAUAGAUUUCUUCCAUUGUAAGCAAUGAUAUGGAUGAACAAAUGAAAGAAUAAAAUGAAUGAAAGGAGGAAGAGGUUAGAGAGAAAUGAAAUUUGAAAACAUAAUAGUGGUAACAAUAAGUGAUGCAUUUAAAAAUGAAAUUUGAGAGAACUAAUUGUAGAUGCGUUAGAUUUAGAAGUUGGUAGUUAAUAAAGUUUUCUAUUUCUUCGAAAAAAACUAUAUUAUAUUAUGUAGUUGGUGGUCAAUGUGAAUAGAAAAUUAGAUGAUUGUUCCGUGAGGGGGAAUAGAUAAGAGCUUUGCUAACAAGUUAUGCAUUCUUUAAGGUUUUUAAAUAAAAAAAAAAAACUAUUUAUUCAAAAAGUUGUGUAUAUAUAUAUAUAUAUGUGUGUGUGUGUUAUUUUUUAUUUUUUUUUAUAAAAAUUUGUUAUUUUAGAUUUUUAAAACUAUUUUUAUAAGGACAUUCGUUAACAUUUCUCAAAUGAUAAAAGACAUAUAGUUGAAACUUGAAAACCAGAAAUUGAGACAAAAUAAGUGACUUACAUUUUCUUAAAGAAAUCAGUGAUGAGUAAUACAAACAAUCAAAUGGAAACGCACAUUUUCUUCCAUCUCGAGUUUCUCCAUACCCCACAAUUGCUACCCCAUGAUUCAGCUCAUGUGCCACAGUGCCCAUAUGAUAAACUUGGCCUUCAAAAUAAUUUUGAACUUCAUAUAUAUAACAUAAUAUCUCAAAUAAUGUACAUACAAUAAUUUCUUGACCAUACAGAGGCCUAGAUUGCUAACACUACUGUUAUCAUAUGCAUACAUUAUUUUGAAGUACUAAAGUCAUAUGCAAAAGAUGUAUUAGAUCAGCUCCAAAUUUUUAAUGUAACAUCAAAUUCCAUAACCAUAAGCCAACCUUGACUAAAAUAUGCCUCCAAUUACCUGUAUUGAGCAUGAUACGAUAUCACUCAUCUGAAUUCUGAAGGUACUAAAAUCUUACAUAUUCAAUGAGGUGAUUCAUCACCAGAAUUUUAAUGCAAUGUCAAAAUCCAGAAUCGCAUCACAAGCCCAAUUUUGACCAAAUAAAUACCUUGAACAUGAUAUGCUAGAGAUGACCUCUAGUGAUGGUACACAUAGUCAGUGACAUGGUUAUUAUUAUGCUAAACUUUGAU
RNAcentral lists this long non-coding RNA (6326 nucleotides) under Medicago truncatula (barrel medic). RNAcentral's name for it is "long non-coding RNA (MTRU_LNC002367)". The stretch from base 4554 to 4621 matches the Rfam family "MIR2629 microRNA precursor family". The record is from RNAcentral. Lineage: Eukaryota; Viridiplantae; Streptophyta; Magnoliopsida; Fabales; Fabaceae.